This is a long non-coding RNA of Bolinopsis microptera, 266 nucleotides long. RefSeq lists it as uncharacterized. Lineage: Eukaryota; Metazoa; Ctenophora; Tentaculata; Lobata; Bolinopsidae. The transcript is spliced from 3 exons. The record is from RefSeq and is a predicted model, not a curated record.
CCGAAAGUUUGGUCAGUCCACAUCGGUGAAGAUACAUCUCCUUGAAGACCACUUUUUGGAGCAGAUACAGCUCUGGGGGAUGUUUUCUGGAUCUUUCAAUGAGCAAGGUGGUGAGAGUACUCACUCCCUUUUUAAGAAUCACGAACACAUGACAAACCAUGUUCGUAAUGACGAAGACCGAGUUGUGAAAAAGUGCGAGCUAGCAACACGGAAAUACCUGUUGAAAGUGAAAUCCAAGCUGUGUGACUGAAAUGGGUCAAUCAUGA